Molecule: ribosomal RNA, 202 nt
Filed under: uncultured archaeon
Lineage: Archaea
Description: partial 16S ribosomal RNA
Rfam family: Archaeal small subunit ribosomal RNA
Source: RNAcentral
ACCCCCGCCCCCCCCGCCGCGCGCGGCGGGCGGGGCGGGGGCACGGGGGGCCGACGGUGAGGGGUGAAAGCUGGGGGAGCAAACCGGAUUAGAUACCCGGGUAGUCCCAGCCGUAAACGAUGCACGUUAGGUGUAUCGAUGACCACGAGUCAUCGAGGUGCCGAAGGGAAACCGUGAAACGUGCCGCCUGGGAAGUACGGCC